GAUGAACGCUGGCGGCGUGCCUAAUACAUGCAAGUCGAGCGAACAGAUGAGGAGCUUGCUCCUCUGACGUUAGCGGCGGACGGGUGAGUAACACGUGGAUAACCUACCUAUAAGACUGGGAUAACUUCGGGACACCGGAGCUAAUACCGGAUAAUAUAUUGAACCGCAUGGUUCAAUAGUGAAAGACGGUUUUGCUGUCACUUAUAGAUGGAUCCGCGCCGCAUUAGCUAGUUGGUAAGGUAACGGCUUACCAAGGCAACGAUGCGUAGCCGACCUGAGAGGGUGAUCGGCCACAUUGGAACGGAGACACGGUCCAGACUCCUACGGGAGGCAGCAGUAGGGAAUCUUCCGCAAUGGGCGAAAGCCUGACGGAGCAACGCCGCGUGAGUGAUGAAGGUCUUCGGAUCGUAAAACUCUGUUAUUAGGGAAGAACAAAUGUGUAAGUAACUAUGCACGUCUUGACGGUACCUAAUCAGAAAGCCACGGCUAACUACGUG
Molecule: ribosomal RNA, 497 nt
Filed under: uncultured bacterium
Lineage: Bacteria
Description: partial 16S ribosomal RNA
Rfam family: Bacterial small subunit ribosomal RNA
Source: RNAcentral